GAUGAACGCUGGCGGCGUGCUUAACACAUGCAAGUCGAACGAUGAAGCUCAGCUUGCUGGGUGGAUUAGUGGCGAACGGGUGAGUAACACGUGAGUAACCUGCCCUUAACUCUGGGAUAAGCCUGGGAAACUAGGUCUAAUACCGGAUAGGAGCGUCCACCGCAUGGUGGGUGUUGGAAAGAUUUAUCGGUUUUGGAUGGACUCGCGGCCUAUCAGCUUGUUGGUGAGGUAAUGGCUCACCAAGGCGACGACGGGUAGCCGGCCUGAGAGGGUGACCGGCCACACUGGGACUGAGACACGGCCCAGACUCCUACGGGAGGCAGCAGUGGGGAAUAUUGCACAAUGGGCGAAAGCCUGAUGCAGCGACGCCGCGUGAGGGAUGACGGCCUUCGGGUUGUAAACCUCUUUCAGUAGGGAAGAAGCGAUAGUGACGGUACCUGCAGAAGAAGCACCGGCUAACUACGUG
This 466-nucleotide ribosomal RNA is filed under the name uncultured bacterium. RNAcentral's name for it is "partial 16S ribosomal RNA". It matches the Rfam family "Bacterial small subunit ribosomal RNA", at positions 28 to 507 of the family's 1533-position model. The record is from RNAcentral.